Molecule: ribosomal RNA, 473 nt
Filed under: uncultured bacterium
Lineage: Bacteria
Description: SSU rRNA
Rfam family: Bacterial small subunit ribosomal RNA
Source: RNAcentral
AGGACGAACGCUGGCGGCGUGCUUAACACAUGCAAGUCGAGCGGAAAGGCCCUUCGGGGUACUCGAGCGGCGAACGGGUGAGUAACACGUGAGUAAUCUGCCCCUAGCUCUGGGAUAGCUCCGGGAAACCGGGAUUAAUACCAGAUACGACCACUUUAGACAUCUGUUGUGGUGGAAAGAAUUUCGGCUAGGGAUGAGCUCGCGGCCUAUCAGCUUGUUGGUGAGGUAACGGCUCACCAAGGCGACGACGGGUAGCCGGCCUGAGAGGGCGACCGGCCACACUGGGACUGAGACACGGCCCAGACUCCUACGGGAGGCAGCAGUGGGGAAUAUUGCGCAAUGGGCGAAAGCCUGACGCAGCGACGCCGCGUGGGGGAUGAAGGCCUUCGGGUUGUAAACCCCUUUCAGCAGGGACGAAGCGAAAGUGACGGUACCUGCAGAGAAGCGCCGGCUAACUACGCGCCAGCAGCCGC